CUCCUUGCACACACCGCCCGUCGCUUCAUUCGAAGUUGGUUCUUGGCGAGGUAGUGUCUAAUUGGUCACUAUCGAACCUGGGGUCAGCAACGAGGGAGAAGUCGUAAACAAGGUACC
This 117-nucleotide ribosomal RNA is filed under the name uncultured bacterium. RNAcentral's name for it is "partial 16S ribosomal RNA". It matches the Rfam family "Archaeal small subunit ribosomal RNA", at positions 1333 to 1447 of the family's 1478-position model. The record is from RNAcentral.